RNAcentral lists this ribosomal RNA (393 nucleotides) under uncultured bacterium. RNAcentral's name for it is "partial 16S ribosomal RNA". It matches the Rfam family "Bacterial small subunit ribosomal RNA", at positions 523 to 918 of the family's 1533-position model. The record is from RNAcentral.
AUACGGAGGAUCCGAGCGUUAUCCGGAUUUAUUGGGUUUAAAGGGAGCGUAGGUGGACAGUUAAGUCAGUUGUGAAAGUUUGCGGCUCAACCGUAAAAUUGCAGUUGAUACUGGUUUCCUUGAGUACGGUAUAGGUGGGCGGAAUUCGUGGUGUAGCGGUGAAAUGCCUAGAUAUCACGAAGAACUCCGAUCGCGAAGGCAGCUCACCGGGCCGGAACUGACACUGAUGCUCGAAAGUGCGGGUAUCAAACAGGAUUAGAUACCCUGGUAGUCCGCACAGUAAACGAUGAAUACUCGCUGUUUGCGAUACACUGUAAGCGGCCAAGCGAAAGCGUUAAGUAUUCCACCUGGGGAGUACGCCGGCAACGGUGAAACUCAAAUGAAUUGGCGGGG